Molecule: long non-coding RNA, 438 nt
Filed under: Mytilus galloprovincialis (Mediterranean mussel)
Lineage: Eukaryota; Metazoa; Mollusca; Bivalvia; Mytilida; Mytilidae
Source: RNAcentral
GGGGGCUAGGAUGAAAAAUUUUGUCCUGUAUUUUUAGCUGUAAUCUCUGUCCUGCCUUUUUAUUUUUCACUCUGUUCGGUCCUGCCUUUUUUUUUUAGUUUAUCCAGACUUUUUUUUACCUAAAUUGUCGUCUUGACUUUUUUUUUUUUGCAAGUGUCUCAUCCUGCCUUUUUUUUUACUCAAAACUCCUGUCCUGCCUAUUUUUUUUCAAAUUUCAUCCUAGCCCCCCCCCCCCCAUAAAAAUCAAAUGGUAGCUCCCUUAUGAUAUAAAGUUUCCGUCCGUCAUAUGUCCAUUGCUCUUGACCACAUUUUCAUGGUUCAGUGACUACUUAAAAAAAAGUAAAGAUUUUUUGUAAUGUUUAUUUCUUUCUUUUAUGAGUAAUAGGAUAAUUAAAUUUAAUAUGUGAGUACAUUGCAAGGUCCUCAUGCCCAUCAGAC